Molecule: ribosomal RNA, 498 nt
Filed under: uncultured Glomeromycotina
Lineage: Eukaryota; Fungi; Glomeromycota
Description: partial small subunit ribosomal RNA
Rfam family: Eukaryotic small subunit ribosomal RNA
Source: RNAcentral
CCAAUAGCGUAUAUUAAAGUUGUUGCAGUUAAAAAGCUCGUAGUUGAAUUUCGGAAUCAGUAUGUCGGUCGUGCCUCCGGUAUGUACUGGCGUCACUGGUUCCUCCCUUCUGACGAACCAUCAUGCUAUUAAUUUAGUGUGGUGGGAAAUCAGGACUGUUACUUUGAAAAAAUUAGAGUGUUUAAAGCAGGCUCACGCUUGAAUACAUUAGCAUGGAAUAAUGAAAUAGGACGUUGAUCCUAUUUUGUUGGUUUCUAGGAUUGACGUAAUGAUUAAUAGGGAUAGUUGGGGGCAUUAGUAUUCAAUUGUCAGAGGUGAAAUUCUUGGAUUUAUUGAAGACUAACUACUGCGAAAGCAUUUGCCAAGGAUGUUUUCAUUAAUCAAGAACGAAAGUUAGGGGAUCGAAGACGAUCAGAUACCGUCGUAGUCUUAACCAUAAACUAGGCCGACUAGGGAUCGGAUGAUGUUAAUUUUUUAAUGACUCAUUCGGCGCCUUAC